Molecule: long non-coding RNA, 200 nt
Filed under: Coffea arabica (coffee)
Lineage: Eukaryota; Viridiplantae; Streptophyta; Magnoliopsida; Gentianales; Rubiaceae
Description: long non-coding RNA (CARA_LNC006477)
Source: RNAcentral
AAAUACUUAAAACCGAACUCCUAUAUAUAUAGCAAAAAUAUACAUGAUACAACUCAAAAACAAAUAUCGCACUGACACAUGAAUCACAAGACAAAUAGUAACACCACAAAUAUAACAAACAAACAAAACUAGAAAAGAUAGACACGAUAAAACAAUAUUAAACAAUCUUACAAGCUCAAAUAAAAUAUUAAAUAUACAUA